Molecule: non-coding RNA, 390 nt
Organism: Mauremys mutica (yellowpond turtle)
Lineage: Eukaryota; Metazoa; Chordata; Testudines; Geoemydidae
Source: the annotation of a RefSeq genome assembly
AUGAGGCUUUGGCUCCAUUUGCUUUUCACUGUAGCGGCUUUACAAGGUGUCCGGUCCCAGGUGCAGCUGGUGGAGUCCGGAGGGGAUGUGAAAAAGCCCGGAGACUCUCUCCGCCUCUCCUGCAAAGCCUCCGGCUUCACCUUCAGCGGCGCCUACAUGAACUGGGUCCGACAGGCUCCUGGCAAAGGACUAGAAUGGGUCGCUUUUAUAAGCGACGAUGGGGGUGAUAUACGCUACCUUGAUUCAGUGAAAGGCCGGUUCACCAUCUCGAGGGAUAAUCCCAAGAGUGAGCUGUAUCUGCAAAUGACCGGCCUGAAGCCCGAGGACACCGCCCGCUAUUACUGUGCGAGAGACACAGUGACACGAAACCGGUUUGUGAUCAUACAAUAA